Long non-coding RNA from Quercus robur (English oak), 529 nucleotides. RefSeq lists it as uncharacterized. The transcript is spliced from 2 exons. The record is from RefSeq and is a predicted model, not a curated record. NCBI's taxonomy places the organism in Eukaryota, Viridiplantae, Streptophyta, Magnoliopsida, Fagales, Fagaceae.
CUGGGUAUAACAAAAAUUUUUUUUUUUGGUCAAAAGGAUGUGCUAGAUUUUUUUAGAUUCAUCGGAAACCAAAAAUUUUUUUCCCCUACUACCCCUUCUUUUCUAAAAUUUUUUUAGACUCAAACUGCACGUUCACAACGGAGAUAUAGAUCGACGUCACGACAACAGCAGUGGCGAGUUGAGGCUGAUUCGUUGUUGCGACCUAAGGCUAUGGCUCAUCAAUUAAACUCCUCUGCUUAGGUCUUUGACGGUGCCGAAGGGAUCACUGAUUGGAGUUCCGGCCAAGUUUUGGGCCGAAGAAAGUUUUGCUCAUUGAGUUGAUUGACUAUGAUCCUCGGAAACGUUGUCUACAAAAGUCUGCACUUCCUAGUGGGCUUCACACUCGGGCUUCAAGCACGUUUGUAACUUGAAGGUUUUCCUUUAUUUAUUUAUUUAUUUUUACGGGGUUAAAAUAACUUGACUUUUCCAGUCUAAUUACAAAGUCGUAUCUUAAAAAAAAAAGUCUGAUUACAAAGGGGCCCUAUUCUAA